Molecule: long non-coding RNA, 790 nt
Organism: Zingiber officinale
Lineage: Eukaryota; Viridiplantae; Streptophyta; Magnoliopsida; Zingiberales; Zingiberaceae
Exons: 4
Source: RefSeq, a predicted model, not a curated record
CCUUUCUGUUUUCUUUUCUUUCUCUCGCCGUUUCCUUCUCUUCGCUCGCGCCUGCUCUCGCGUGCCCUAACCGGCGCCACACGCGGUGGUUACCUCCUCGUCCGAACAAAAGCGGUGCCCCACCUCUUCUCCGAUCCUUCUUCUCGCCACUGCCCGAAGCCCUCCUUUUCCACCCGAUCCCUUUCUCUCCUUCUCCCGACGCCGAGCAACGCCGGGCCGAUCUUCUUCCCCUGCUGCCGAAGCCCUAGCAGCACCUCUUGGUCACAGAGGUUUUUCACCGCGUCGACGCCCUCUGCCCUAGAUUUGGGCCACAGCCGCCGCCAAUUUGCCCUAGCGUCGGCGACCCGCCCCUUCACGGUGUUGCUCCUCCUCAGCCCUAGUGCCGGCACAAGGAAUUGAGUAAGACAUUUCGAUUUUGGUUAUAGGUUUGUUGAGGUUUGGAUGCGAAGUGUGUUCAUUAAUUGAGGAGUUAGAUUACACUCUAGUGAUUGGAAACUAGUGAGAGUAAUUGAUGGAGAGCUUCUCUUCAAUUCAGCAGCCUCUAGUUUCUUCACUGAACGAUUACAGUGUUGUAUUAAGAGGAUUAACUCAUUUACCGGAUUGAGGCUGUUAAUCUGUGUAGCUUGAGUGGGUGCGGAUUUGGGAAAUCAACAACUUCACCUAGCCAGGUUGUAACGACCGGCAUCGUACUUUUCGGCUGUGAGUCAUCAGUGGUGGUGUGAAUUAGGGUUGAUGCUGUCAGGAGGGAGUUCCAGUUGCUAGUCCCUGCAGAUCUCAAAGAUAUUGUUGG